CCUACGGGAGGCAGCAGUGGGGAAUAUUGGGCAAUGGAGGAAACUCUGACCCAGCAACGCCGCGUGAAUGAUGAAGGUCUUCGGAUUGUAAAGUUCUUUUCUAAGGGAAGAAGAAAGUGACGGUACCUUAGGAAUAAGCCUCGGCUAACUACGUGCCAGCAGCCGCGGUAAUACGUAGGAGGCGAGCGUUAUCCGUAAUGACUGGGCGUAAAGGGGGCGUAGGUGGUUUGGCAAGUUAGUAGCGUAACUCCAAGGCUCAACCUUGGAACUACUACUAAAACUGUUGGACUUGAGUGCAGGAGGGGCAACCGGAAUUCCUAGUGUAGCGGUGGAAUGCGUAGAUAUUAGGAGGAACACCAGUGGCGAAGGCGGGUUGCUAGACUGUAACUGACACUGAGGCACGAAAGCGUGGGGAGCAAACAAGAUUAGAUACCCCAGUAGUC
This 443-nucleotide ribosomal RNA is filed under the name uncultured bacterium. RNAcentral describes it as "partial 16S ribosomal RNA". It matches the Rfam family "Bacterial small subunit ribosomal RNA", at positions 338 to 795 of the family's 1533-position model. The record is from RNAcentral.